Uranotaenia lowii is the source of this 610-nucleotide long non-coding RNA. RefSeq lists it as uncharacterized. NCBI's taxonomy places the organism in Eukaryota, Metazoa, Arthropoda, Insecta, Diptera, Culicidae. The record is from RefSeq and is a predicted model, not a curated record. The transcript is spliced from 2 exons.
UCACGCACUGCAACCGGACGAGCUGGAUCUGGACAUCAAGGAUGUGGUCAACGUGCACCGGAAGAUGGCCGAUGGUUGGUACGAAGGCGAAAGGAUUAGAGAUGGGGUAACUGGAUGGUUCCCGAGCAACUACACCAAGGAAAUUUUCUCCUCCCACAUCCGGGCUAAGCACAUCAAGCAGCGCUAUAUGCUCCUGUCCUAUACGUCCAGGAUCAUCGAUACGACCACCUUGCAGCACGUCAAGAAGAAGUAGGAGAGAGUUUUGAAGAUGAUUGCAACCACGAAUUGUAUAUAUCUGUGUAAGAUUUGUAAGAAUAAUCGUUAGGCUUAAACUGUUACUAGGAAUGCAUGAAUGAGAAUUGCUGCAAUAAUUAGUUGAAAAUAGCUAGGAUUCUGCUUGUUUUUUUUUUCGUUCUCUUGAAAUUUGUCUAUAGAUCUAUACUUCAAAUUGUGCCCAAUAACACUUUGUUAAGCUUUAGGGAAGAAUGCAACAAGUCUUAAAAAUGUAGGUUCCAAAAUUGUUUAGUAGCUAGUAGUUGUACAUUUGUAAAAACAAAAUGUGUUUAAAUUAUUUCGCAAAAUUACCUCUGAUUAAACAUAAAUACACUUA